This 497-nucleotide ribosomal RNA is filed under the name uncultured bacterium. RNAcentral describes it as "partial 16S ribosomal RNA". It matches the Rfam family "Bacterial small subunit ribosomal RNA", at positions 28 to 507 of the family's 1533-position model. The record is from RNAcentral.
GAUGAACGCUGGCGGCGUGCCUAAUACAUGCAAGUCGAGCGAACGGACGAGGAGCUUGCUUUUCUGAUGUUAGCGGCGGACGGGUGAGUAACACGUGGAUAACCUACCUAUCAGACUGGGAUAACUUCGGGAAACCGGAGCUAAUACCGGAUAAUAUUUUGAACCGCAUGGUUCAAAAGUGAAAGACGGUCUUGCUGUCACUUAUAGAUGGAUCCGCGCUGCAUUAGCUAGUUGGUAAGGUAACGGCUUACCAAGGCAACGAUGCAUAGCCGACCUGAGAGGCUGAUCGGCCACACUGGAACUGAGACACGGUCCAGACUCCUACGGGAGGCAGCAGUAGGGAAUCUUCCGCAAUGGUCGAGAGCCUGACGGAGCAACGCCGCGUGAGUGAUGAAGGUCUUCGGAUCGUAAAACUCUGUUAUUAGGGAAGAACAUAUGUGUAAGUAACUGUGCACAUCUUGACGGUACCUAAUCAGAAAGCCACGGCUAACUACGUG